This 669-nucleotide ribosomal RNA is filed under the name uncultured Bacteroidota bacterium. RNAcentral's name for it is "bacterial SSU rRNA". It matches the Rfam family "Bacterial small subunit ribosomal RNA", at positions 39 to 701 of the family's 1533-position model. The record is from RNAcentral. Lineage: Bacteria; Pseudomonadati; Bacteroidota.
GCUACAGGCUUAACACAUGCAAGUCGAGGGGCAGCACAGUGUAGCAAUACACGGGUGGCGACCGGCGCACGGGUGCGUAACGCGUAUCCAACCUUCCCGUUACUCUUGGAUAGCCUUCCGAAAGGGAGAUUAAUACAGGAUGGUGUUUGAAUUCCGCAUGUUAUUCAAACUAAAGAUUUAUCGGUAACGGAUGGGGAUGCGUGACAUUAGGUAGAUGGCGGGGUAACGGCCCACCAUGCCUACGAUGUCUAGGGGUUCUGAGAGGAAGGUCCCCCACACUGGAACUGAGACACGGUCCAGACUCCUACGGGAGGCAGCAGUGAGGAAUAUUGGUCAAUGGCCGGAAGGCUGAACCAGCCAAGUAGCGUGAAGGAUGAAGGUUCUAUGGAUUGUAAACUUCUUUUAUACGGGAAUAAAACCACCUACGUGUAGGUGCUUGUAUGUACCGUGUGAAUAAGCAUCGGCUAACUCCGUGCCAGCAGCCGCGGUAAUACGGAGGAUGCGAGCGUUAUCCGGAUUUAUUGGGUUUAAAGGGAGCGUAGGUGGUUUGUUAAGCCAGCUGUGAAAUACUGUAGCUCAACUACAGCCGUGCAGUUGGAACUGGCAGACUUGAGUGCACUAGAGGAAGGUGGAAUUCGUGGUGUAGCGGUGAAAUGUUUAGAUAUCACG